Molecule: non-coding RNA, 427 nt
Organism: Osmia lignaria (orchard mason bee)
Lineage: Eukaryota; Metazoa; Arthropoda; Insecta; Hymenoptera; Megachilidae
Source: RefSeq, a predicted model, not a curated record
CAGACCUUGAAGGUGCAAAGGUUGACAAAGUUCACAUAUUUUAAGGGAAAACUUGCGUUAAUAUUUAAUUUCACGUUCUGCGAUCGAAAAUAUAAGUAAACAUGAACAAUCACAAUUGUCAAAAGCGCAGAUUUUUAUUCUUUAAUUUAUCUAUCGAAUGUGAAUCGAAAAAAAUUCGAACUAAGGCUUACCUGCACGUUAAUGCAAUUCUCAAUACACACGCCAUAUUGGACACGACUACUACACAGAUAUCACGCGUCUUCUGGAACCAGAAAAUUAUGCGAUUAGCGUCGCAUAAACAUGAAAUGGAUCAUUGCUGUCACUCGAAUAGAUGCGUUUGUUGAAUUAAGAUAAAACUACUGUAAGGAAUACCAAUUACCAUAACACUACACAAUCUUAUAAUAAAUUACAUAUUUAUAUUUCAAAA